UAUGGCCACCCACCCUGAAUGUGCCCAAUCUCAUCUGAUCUCGGAAGCUGAGCAGGGUUGGGCCUGGUCAGUUCUUGGUUAGGGAUACACCAAACUUUAAAUCAGAGGUGCCCAACC
This 117-nucleotide ribosomal RNA is filed under the name Fukomys damarensis (Damara mole-rat). Lineage: Eukaryota; Metazoa; Chordata; Mammalia; Rodentia; Bathyergidae. The record is from RNAcentral.